This 1061-nucleotide long non-coding RNA is filed under the name Anas platyrhynchos (mallard). RNAcentral's name for it is "lncRNA (ENSAPLG00020004359.1)". The record is from RNAcentral. Lineage: Eukaryota; Metazoa; Chordata; Aves; Anseriformes; Anatidae.
ACUAAAUGGUCCUCACAUCUUAGUUUGAAGUAGUGAUCCUAUGUUAAUGGCAGAGGGCGUACAAGUACCUGUUAAAACUGGUGUGUUUUUCCCUGCCAGUCUCCUGCAGAGCUCUGGGCAUACUUGAGGACCUUUGCUGCUUUUCACUGUAACUUUAGCUGCUGCAGUGAAGCUAAUGAAACCAUUCAGAGAAGAAAGAUCCAAGGAAACAUCUAAGAAGGUUCUUCAACAGUACUGACGCUAGUGGAAAUAAUCUUAUCCUGGGACCUGCUGGCCCUUUGUUCCAGGUGAGAUUGCCCUGACUCAGCUCCCUUGAAUCACAGUUGUACCAGAAUUAUCUAUGGUUUGGCAGCAAUAGGACAUCUGUUUUAUUCUGCCUGUGCUAUGACGCUUAGGAUGGGAUGUCUCCACAAGACAUAACAAGUCUCUGAAGUGAGGCUUGUUGUGCCAAGGCUUUGUGUACACCUGUGGUAAGUAGUAUCUACAACUGAUCAGCUAGGUCUACCUAGUUUUUAGACCAUGUCAAGGUGACGUAACUGGAAUUAAUGCUUCUGUCCCCUAGAUCUCCUAAACAGACAACAGAGGGAAAUAAGUACUUCCAUGUGCUGUUUGGAUCUCACAUAGGCUAUCAAGGGAAUAUGGAGUUCUUGCAUCUCAGUGGAAUGAACCUGAGCCUUGUUUCUCUGACAGGUUAAUGGGGUACAUGGACAGGAGACUUCAGCUUUAUCCCCUGGAGCCGUGACAGUCUGAGGUGUUGCCUGGCUCAGCUCCUAGAUGUGAAAGGAAGGAAUAACUUGCACUUCUCCGCAGUCAUUUCCUGAAGCUCACUGGUAGAAAAUAGAUAUGAUUCACUCCAGAAGGUACUGUACUGCUGAGUGCUCCCAGGUGUCUGAUCUACCAAGCAAGGUUGGUAGCAUCAGCUGUCUCUAAGGUUUCCCUUUCCUGAGGAGAGGCUAGUGUCAGCCUCAGCUAACUCUCAGAGGCUUGACAUCAAACUGCAUAGAGUUUUGUUAGAAGCUGACUGAAAACGUGGUGCUGUUAUUAUCUGACACUGGCUGAAA